UACGUAGGGGGCAAGCGUUGUCCGGAUUUAUUGGGCGUAAAGAGCGUGUAGGCGGCUAGGUAGGUCCGUUGUGAAAACUCGAGGCUCAACCUCGAGACGCCGAUGGAAACCAUCUAGCUAGAGUCCGGAAGAGGAGAGUGGAAUUCCUGGUGUAGCGGUGAAAUGCGCAGAUAUCAGGAAGAACACCCGUGGCUAAGGCGGCUCACUGGGCCGGUACUGACGCUGAGGUGCGAAAGCGUGGGGAGCAAACAGG
RNAcentral lists this ribosomal RNA (253 nucleotides) under uncultured bacterium. Its description in RNAcentral is "partial 16S ribosomal RNA". It matches the Rfam family "Bacterial small subunit ribosomal RNA", at positions 524 to 776 of the family's 1533-position model. The record is from RNAcentral.